RNAcentral lists this ribosomal RNA (253 nucleotides) under uncultured bacterium. RNAcentral's name for it is "partial 16S ribosomal RNA". It matches the Rfam family "Bacterial small subunit ribosomal RNA", at positions 524 to 776 of the family's 1533-position model. The record is from RNAcentral.
UACGAAGGGGGCUAGCGUUGCUCGGAAUUACUGGGCGUAAAGGGCGCGUAGGCGGAUCGUUUAGUCAGAGGUGAAAGCCCAGGGCUCAACCUUGGAAUUGCCUUUGAUACUGGCUAUCUUGAGUUCGGGAGAGGUGAGUGGAAUGCCGAGUGUAGAGGUGAAAUUCGUAGAUAUUCGGCGGAACACCAGUGGCGAAGGCGACUCACUGGCCCGAUACUGACGCUGAGGCGCGAAAGCGUGGGGAGCAAACAGG